CACAAAGCGUUGGCCUCCUUGCUUCACCUUGCUGCUUGGGAGAUUUGGAAGGAAAUGAAUGCUCGUGUUUUCAAGGCCAAGGCAGCGCCAGUGGAGGUUGUUGUGCAUAUCAUCAAGGAUGAAACGGGUAUCUGGGUCCUAGCUGGCGCGAGGCAUUUGGGUAAUGCAAUGCCGCAAGAGUGGCCAUUGUAUCUGUUAUCGCCUAGGCUAUUUUGUAUGGAACAUCACCCUUCUUCUUAA
This 240-nucleotide ribosomal RNA is filed under the name Triticum aestivum (bread wheat). Its description in RNAcentral is "partial small subunit ribosomal RNA". The record is from RNAcentral. Lineage: Eukaryota; Viridiplantae; Streptophyta; Magnoliopsida; Poales; Poaceae.